AUGGUGAAUAUUCAACUUCUGUUAGCUUUUUUCUUUUCUCAUUGCCUCCCGGCAUGUCAGAGAAUGUCCCCCUGGCAGCGGCCCCGGGGGAGAUGUGUGCCUGGCUUUUGCCCUAAGCAACCAGGCGGACGUAUCCCUCCAUCAAAUCUCCUUAGUUUGUGCUCGUCCAAAUGCGAGCUAUCCGAGAUGAAAAAAUGUGGCUCCUCCUUGAGUUGCCCCGACCAUCAGGUGAAGCCAAAGCAAGCUGUGGGAUGUGUCCAUCCCAACAGCUGGCGUUUGGUAACAGGCUCACAUCUGAAAUGGCAGGAAAGGUCUGUCACGCCUGGACCAGAAGCCAAAACUUCAGCAUUUCAUUCUUUCUCAGCCACCAAAAAUGACAGCAAAACCUCUGGUUUUCUCCUUGGUCAGCAGGGCACAGAGAAAGAAGGAACCCCUGUGCUGGUUGAAACUGUUGCCUGUGCUCUGGGUUGAGGAUUUUAAACUUUUUUAUUUUAAAGGUAGGGACUUGCAUGAAUAUGCUCCAAGAUAUUUCACUCAUGGAACUGGAGAGGGGUGUGAUUCAGCCUGAAACUGGAUUUAUGCUGCACUCUUAUUUUAGUUCCUACUGCCUAGGAGAAUAGUUACUACUCAAAUCACAAACUCUGUCUGUGACCUGCGCUAAGUUUUCAAAUUAAUUUGGUUUUGGUUUUGAUAGCUUCAACAGAAUUGUUGAAUAACAUUUCCUUCAGCAGGAGUUUUCCAAACAAAUUUACUUCAUUUCUGCUUGUGAGAAGUGGAAAGAAUGUAUUUUCCUUGUGCCUGCUUGGAACUACAUGUGCCUCUGAGGUCCAGAAGGUGACAAAUCUUUCACAAGUGAUUCUUCCAAUAAGCAUAGAGAGGAGAAACUAAUUGUUGUGUGCUGUAGCUACCAGAAGAUUAAAAAUAUUCUGUACUGAAAUAAGUUAACUGUUGCUCAGCAUUUGGACUUGUGGAGCACAGAGCUGACUAGGUUGAGCUUAGGGAGAGAAUUGGAAAACAAACUUCUCAGCUGGAAAAGGAGCCCCCUGAAUUUAAUGCUGUUGGACCAAAUGAGCAGGAACAAACCUGGAAGACCUUGGCUGAAUGCUAAAUGUGAGUAUUGACCCCAAACAGCACUUUUUCCAUGUGUCAAAAAUACACUCUUUAAUGGAUUAAAUUAUUUUAUUAGUCUUCCAUUUGGAAGGCUAAAACCUGCUGUGCAAAGCUCAAGAAAUAAAUAAAAUCUGGUGAUGAAAGACUGAACUCUG
This 1265-nucleotide long non-coding RNA is filed under the name Junco hyemalis (dark-eyed junco). RNAcentral describes it as "lncRNA (ENSJHYG00000003969.1)". Lineage: Eukaryota; Metazoa; Chordata; Aves; Passeriformes; Passerellidae. The record is from RNAcentral.